This 409-nucleotide ribosomal RNA is filed under the name uncultured bacterium. Its description in RNAcentral is "partial 16S ribosomal RNA". It matches the Rfam family "Bacterial small subunit ribosomal RNA", at positions 355 to 755 of the family's 1533-position model. The record is from RNAcentral.
UGGGGAAUUUUGGACAAUGGGCGCAAGCCUGAUCCAGCCAUGCCGCGUACGGGAAGAAGGCCUUCGGGUUGUAAACCGCUUUUGUCAGGGAAGAAAUCUUCUGAGUUAAUACCUCGGGAGGAUGACGGUACCUGAAGAAUAAGCACCGGCUAACUACGUGCCAGCAGCCGCGGUAAUACGUAGGGUGCAAGCGUUAAUCGGAAUUACUGGGCGUAAAGCGUGCGCAGGCGGUUUUGUAAGACAGAGGUGAAAUCCCCGGGCUCAACCUGGGAACUGCCUUUGUGACUGCAAGGCUUGAGUGCGGCAGAGGGGGAAUGGAAUUCCGCGUGUAGCAGUGAAAUGCGUAGAUAUGCGGAGGAACACCGAUGGCGAAGGCAAUCCCCUGGGCCUGCACUGACGCUCAUGCACG